RNAcentral lists this ribosomal RNA (197 nucleotides) under uncultured bacterium. Its description in RNAcentral is "partial 16S ribosomal RNA". It matches the Rfam family "Bacterial small subunit ribosomal RNA", at positions 326 to 539 of the family's 1533-position model. The record is from RNAcentral.
ACGCUCGACACCUACGGGAAGCAGCAGUGGGGAAUAUUGCACAAUGGGGGAAACCCUGAUGCAGCGACGCCGCGUGAGUGAAGAAGUAUUUCGGUAUGUAAAGCUCUAUCAGCAGGGAAGAAGAUGACGGUACCUGAGUAAGAAGCUCCGGCUAACUACGUGCCAGCGCCGCGGUAAUCUGAGCGGGCUGGCAAGGC